GGUCAAGCGACUAAGCGCAUACGGUGGAUGCCUUGGCAGUCAGAGGCGAUGAAGGACGUAGUAGCCUGCGAAAAGCUUCGGGGAGUCGGCAAACAGACUUUGAUCCGGAGGUAUCCGAAUGGGGAAACCCACCUGGUGUAAGCCAGGUAUCCUCAACUGAAUUCAUAGGUUGAGGAGGCGAACGAGGGGAACUGAAACAUCUAAG
Molecule: ribosomal RNA, 205 nt
Filed under: Desulfobacterales bacterium
Lineage: Bacteria; Pseudomonadati; Thermodesulfobacteriota; Desulfobacteria; Desulfobacterales
Description: partial 23S ribosomal RNA
Rfam family: Bacterial large subunit ribosomal RNA
Source: RNAcentral